AGAGUUUGAUCAUGGCUCAGACUGAACGCUGGCGGCAUGGCUAAAACAUGCAAGUCGAACGGACCCGCAAGGGUUAGUGGCGGAAGGGUGAGUAAUACUAUCGAAUGUACCCCGAGGUGGAGGAUAGGCAUGGGAAACUGUGCGUAAUACUUCAUGAUCUCGAGAGAGCAAAGGCGCAAGCCGCCUUGGGAGCAGCGAUAUUCCUAUCAGGUAGUUGGCGGGGUAAUGGCCCACCAAGCCGAAGACGGGUAGCCGGUAUGAGAGUACGGCCGGCCACAUCGGGACUGAGACACUGCCCGGACUCCUACGGGAGGCUGCAGUAACGAAUAUUCCGCAAUGGGCGAAAGCCUGACGGAGCAAUGCCGCGUGUGGGAUGAAGCGGUUUCGCCGUGUAAACCACUGUCAGGGAAUAGAAAAGAUGAUCAUUCUCAGAGGAAGGGGCGACUAACUCUGUGCCAGCAGUCGCGGUAAGACAGAGGCCCCGAGCGUUAGUCGGAAUUACUGGGCUUAAAGGGUGCGUAGGCGGGCGUGUAAGUGCUUUGUGAAAGCCCUGGGCUCAACCCAGGAACCGCAGGGCAUACUGCACGUCUCGAAGGAGCUAGAGGCCGGUGGAACGAUCGGUGGAGCGGUGGAAUGCGUAGAGAUCGAUCGGAACGCCAAGGGUGAAGACNCCGGCUGGGGCUCUCUUGACGCUGAGGCACGAAAGCGUGGGGAUCAAACAGGAUUAGAUACCCUAGUAGUCC
RNAcentral lists this ribosomal RNA (743 nucleotides) under uncultured bacterium. RNAcentral describes it as "bacterial SSU rRNA". It matches the Rfam family "Bacterial small subunit ribosomal RNA", at positions 8 to 796 of the family's 1533-position model. The record is from RNAcentral.